This 597-nucleotide long non-coding RNA is filed under the name Mus spicilegus (steppe mouse). The record is from RNAcentral. Lineage: Eukaryota; Metazoa; Chordata; Mammalia; Rodentia; Muridae.
CAUGGACUAUCCUCAGGAAAAUGAGAUCCAGGAAGAGUGACGCCCUCCUCGAACUGAAAGAUACUCAGGCUGAUGGAGUCAGGGAUGAAGUGGUUUAUCAACAGCACAGGAUGUCUGCAGGGAACAGAACUUAUUCAGACAUGGCCCAGAUUGUCUGCCCGUGGGGACUGAGGGACCUCUGAGGGUUACAUCAGGAAGGAAGGAGAGGCUGUUUCUACAGGUGCCACAGAAAAAUCGAUGCUGAGCCUCGGAUUAUUGGAUCCCAUAGAACCGUGGAGACUUGGCAGUGAAAUUCUUCCAAAGCAUUCCAUCUGCGCAGGCAGAGGUGUUCCUGGUUUGGAAAGUAUAAAUCCCGUGGGAAGUCAACUGGAGGACAUUUUACGCGUCACUCAUCCUAUUAUGAGCCUGCUGCUCCUCCGUCUCUUGACAAGUUGGCAGCUAAAGGACAGGAGAAGCAAUAAGGCUUCCUGGCUACAUUUUCAUGGUGCCACCAACUGCGAGUUAAGCUGACAAACAUUUUGAGAGCUCGGCCCAUUUCAUUCCCAGCAGGAUGGCAGGAGUUAACUAAAACAGAAUAAACUAAAAAUUGUGCCUUCA